UGCCAGCCGCCGCGGUAAUACGGAGGGCGCAAGCGUUGUUCGGAAUCACUGGGCAUAAAGAGCAUGUAGGCGGUCUAUUAAGUCGGAUGUGAAAGCCCUCGGCCCAACCGGGGAACUGCAUUCGAUACUGAUAGACUUGAGGACAGGAGGGGUGAGUGGAACUUCAGGUGGAACGGUGAAAUGUGUAGAUAUCUGAAGGAACACCGGUGGCGAAAGCGGCUCACUGGCCUGUCUCUGACGCUGAGAUGCGAAAGCUAGGGUAGCGAACGGGAUUAGAUA
RNAcentral lists this ribosomal RNA (279 nucleotides) under uncultured bacterium. RNAcentral describes it as "partial 16S ribosomal RNA". It matches the Rfam family "Bacterial small subunit ribosomal RNA", at positions 506 to 784 of the family's 1533-position model. The record is from RNAcentral.